AUCAAACAUAUCGAUACAUAAAAAUGGCUAACAAUUUGCAGCAAUCUUUCCUGAACAAAAUCAAACUUCACAAGACUGCUAGGCGCAUUCAAGUGAAAAUACUCCAUUCAUGAAGAUUCUUCAUGAAAGGAAGGAUAUCAUCUUUUGUCGGCAGAAGAUCUGAAGAUUUGAUGGGCUUGGGCCAACUAUUUCAAGCAACAAGUGAUGGGCUGAAACCCAAUUUUUUAAAAUGUCGUUAUGUUGAAAAAAUAUUUAUGCACAAACCGAUAUAUAACAACUCUAAUGUCAGAUAUAAGUUGUAAAAAGAGCAUCAAACAUUCUUUUUUGUUUUAAUUGUCUAUUCUUGAUCAAAAAUAAAACAGUAUUUUUUA
Raphanus sativus (radish) is the source of this 371-nucleotide long non-coding RNA. RefSeq lists it as uncharacterized. The record is from RefSeq and is a predicted model, not a curated record. The transcript is spliced from 2 exons. NCBI's taxonomy places the organism in Eukaryota, Viridiplantae, Streptophyta, Magnoliopsida, Brassicales, Brassicaceae.